GACGAACGCUGGCGGCGUGCUUAACACAUGCAAGUCGAGCGGUAAGGCCCUUUCGGGGGUACACGAGCGGCGAACGGGUGAGUAACACGUGGGUGACCUGCCCUCAGCUCUGGGAUAAGCCUGGGAAACCGGGUCUAAUACUGGAUAUGACUCCAUGACGCAUGUUGUGGGGUGGAAAGCCUUGUGCGGCUGAGGAUGGGCCCGCGGCCUAUCAGCUUGUUGGUGGGGUGAUGCCUACCAAGGCGACGACGGGUAGCCGGCCUGAGAGGGCGACCGGCCACACUGGGACUGAGACACGGCCCAGACUCCUACGGGAGGCAGCAGUGGGGAAUCUUGCGCAAUGGGCGAAAGCCUGACGCAGCGACGCCGCGUGAGGGAUGACGGCCUGGUGUAAC
RNAcentral lists this ribosomal RNA (395 nucleotides) under uncultured bacterium. Its description in RNAcentral is "bacterial SSU rRNA". It matches the Rfam family "Bacterial small subunit ribosomal RNA", at positions 28 to 429 of the family's 1533-position model. The record is from RNAcentral.